GCCAGCAUGGCGUAGUGGUUUGAGUACUGGAGUAUGACUCUGGAGAUCAGGGUUUGAUUCCCAGCUUGGCC
Phrynosoma platyrhinos (Desert horned lizard) is the source of this 71-nucleotide non-coding RNA. Lineage: Eukaryota; Metazoa; Chordata; Lepidosauria; Squamata; Phrynosomatidae. The record is from the annotation of a GenBank genome assembly.